This 242-nucleotide ribosomal RNA is filed under the name uncultured bacterium. RNAcentral's name for it is "partial 16S ribosomal RNA". It matches the Rfam family "Bacterial small subunit ribosomal RNA", at positions 15 to 253 of the family's 1533-position model. The record is from RNAcentral.
GAUCCUGACUCAGGAUGAACGCUAGCGACAGGCUUAACACAUGCAAGUCGAGGGGCAUCAUGAGGUAGCAAUACCUUGAUGGCGACCGGCGCACGGGUGAGUAACGCGUAUGCAACCUGCCCGAUACCGGGGUAUAGCCCAUGGAAACGUGGAUUAACACCCCAUAGUACUUUUAUCCUGCAUGGGAUGUGAGUUAAAUGUUUAAGGUAUCGGAUGGGCAUGCGUCCUAUUAGUUAGUUGGG